CCAUGUUCAGCUGAGUUUGACCCGUGCGCACAGGUGAGGCCCUGCUUGUCUAGUACUCGAGUGGCGAACGGGUGAGUAACACGUGGGUGAUCUGCCUUGUACUUCGGGAUAAGCUUGGGAAACUGGGUCUAAUACCGGAUAGGACCACUGUUUGGUGAUGGUGGUGGAAAGCUUUUGCGGUAUGAGAUGAGCUCGCGGCCUAUCAGCUUGUUGGUGGGGUAAUGGCCUACCAAGGCGUCGACGGGUAGCCGGCCUGAGAGGGUGUACGGCCACAUUGGGACUGAGAUACGGCCCAGACUCCUACGGGAGGCAGCAGUGGGGAAUAUUGCACAAUGGGCGGAAGCCUGAUGCAGCGACGCCGCGUGGGGGAUGACGGCCUUCGGGUUGUAAACUCCUUUCGAUAGGGACGAAGCGUAAGUGACGGUACCUGUAGAAGAAGCACCGGCUAACUACGUGCCAGCAGCCGCGGUAAUACGUAGGGUGCGAGCGUUGUCCGGAAUUACUGGGCGUAAAGAGCUCGUAGGUGGUUUGUCGCGUCGUCUGUGGAAGUCCGGGGCUUAACUCCGGGGGUGCAGGCGAUACGGGCAUAACUUGAGUGCUGUAGGGGAGACUGGAAUUCCUGGUGUAGCGGUGGAAUGCGCAGAUAUCAGGAGGAACACCGAUGGCGAAGGCAGGUCUCUGGGCAGUUACUGACGCUGAGGAGCGAAAGCAUGGGUAGCGAACAGGAUUAGAUACCCUGGUAGUCCAUGCUGUAAACGGUGGGCGCUAGGUGUAGGGGACUUCCACGUUUCCUGUGCCGUAGCUAACGCAUUAAGCGCCCCGCCUGGGGAGUACGGCCGCAGGCUAAACUCAAAGGAAUGACGGGGGCCCGCCACAAGCGGCGGGAGCAUGUGGAUAUCGAUGCAACGCGAAGAACUACUGGGCUGAAAUAACACCAAGAUCGGGCUAAGAGAAUAGUCUUUCCCUUGGGUGGGUGUACAGGUGGGUGCAUGAUUGUCGUCAGCCUCGUGUCUGAAUGUGGUAGUCCGCAACGAGGCACUUGUCUAUGUGCAGACGUGAUGGUGGGACUCAGAAACUGCGGUACUCAGAUGAUACUCAAUACUAAUGCUUAGUCAGGUUCACACUGGCUACAUGUCGUACACCGCGGUCUCACUG
This 1155-nucleotide ribosomal RNA is filed under the name Corynebacterium sp. DJ13. Its description in RNAcentral is "bacterial SSU rRNA". It matches the Rfam family "Bacterial small subunit ribosomal RNA", at positions 57 to 1169 of the family's 1533-position model. Lineage: Bacteria; Bacillati; Actinomycetota; Actinomycetes; Mycobacteriales; Corynebacteriaceae. The record is from RNAcentral.